This 400-nucleotide ribosomal RNA is filed under the name uncultured Lactobacillus sp. Its description in RNAcentral is "bacterial SSU rRNA". It matches the Rfam family "Bacterial small subunit ribosomal RNA", at positions 958 to 1358 of the family's 1533-position model. Lineage: Bacteria; Bacillati; Bacillota; Bacilli; Lactobacillales; Lactobacillaceae. The record is from RNAcentral.
AACGCGAAGAACCUUACCAAAUCUUGACAUCCUCUGAUCCCUCUAGAGAUAGAGUUUUCCCCUUCGGGGGACAGAGUGACAGGUGGUGCAUGGUUGUCGUCAGCUCGUGUCGUGAGAUGUUGGGUUAAGUCCCGCAACGAGCGCAACCCUUAAGCUUAGUUGCCAUCAUUAAGUUGGGCACUCUAAAGAGACUGCCGGUGACAAACCGGAGGAAGGUGGGGAUGACGUCAAGUCAUCAUGCCCCUUAUGACCUGGGCUACACACGUGCUACAAUGGGCAGUACAACGAGAAGCGAACCCGCGAGGGUAAGCGGAUCUCUUAAAGCUGUUCUCAGUUCGGACUGCAGGCUGCAACUCGCCUGCACGAAGCUGGAAUCGCUAGUAAUCGCGAUCAGCACGCC